UACGGAGGAUGCGAGCGUUAUCCGGAUUUAUUGGGUUUAAAGGGUGCGCAGGCGGCGUGUCAAGCAAGCGGUAAAAUAGCGGGGCUCAACCCCGUCGAGCCGUUUGAACUGGCGCGCUUGAGUUCAGGCGAGGUAGGCGGAAUUCGUGGUGUAGCGGUGAAAUGCAUAGAUAUCACGAAGAACUCCGAUUGCGAAGGCAGCUUACCAGUCUGCGACUGACGCUCAGGCACGAAAGUGUGGGCAUCGAACAGG
This 252-nucleotide ribosomal RNA is filed under the name uncultured bacterium. RNAcentral's name for it is "partial 16S ribosomal RNA". It matches the Rfam family "Bacterial small subunit ribosomal RNA", at positions 524 to 776 of the family's 1533-position model. The record is from RNAcentral.